This 71-nucleotide transfer RNA is filed under the name Blautia obeum. RNAcentral describes it as "tRNA-Arg". It matches the Rfam family "tRNA". Rfam says of the family: Transfer RNA (tRNA) molecules are approximately 80 nucleotides in length. Their secondary structure includes four short double-helical elements and three loops (D, anti-codon, and T loops). Further hydrogen bonds mediate the characteristic L-shaped molecular structure. tRNAs have two regions of fundamental functional importance: the anti-codon, which is responsible for specific mRNA codon recognition, and the 3' end, to which the tRNAs corresponding amino acid is attached (by aminoacyl-tRNA synthetases). tRNAs cope with the degeneracy of the genetic code in two manners: having more than one tRNA (with a specific anti-codon) for a particular amino acid; and 'wobble' base-pairing, i.e. permitting non-standard base-pairing at the 3rd anti-codon position. Lineage: Bacteria; Bacillati; Bacillota; Clostridia; Lachnospirales; Lachnospiraceae. The record is from RNAcentral.
CGUCAUAGCUCAGCUGGAUAGAGCACUCGCCUCCUAAGCGGUAGAUGGUUCGAGUCCAAAUGAGGCAAACA